GAUGAACGCUGGCGGCGUGCCUAAUACAUGCAAGUCGAGCGAACAGACGAGGAGCUUGCUCCUUUGACGUUAGCGGCGGACGGGUGAGUAACACGUGGGUAACCUACCUAUAAGACUGGGAUAACUUCGGGAAACCGGAGCUAAUACCGGAUAAUAUUUCGAACCGCAUGGUUCUAUAAUGAAAGAUGCCUCUGCUAUCACUUAUACAUGGACCUGCGCCGUAUUAGCUAGUUGGUAAGGUAACGGCUUACCAAGGCAACGAUACGUAGCCGACCUGAGAGGGUGAUCGGCCACACUGGAACUGAGACACGGUCCAGACUCCUACGGGAGGCAGCAGUAGGGAAUCUUCCGCAAUGGGCGAAAGCCUGACGGAGCAACGCCGCGUGAGUGAUGAAGGUCUUCGGAUCGUAAAACUCUGUUAUUAGGGAAGAACAAACGUGUAAGUAACUGUGCACGUCUUGACGGUACCUAAUCAGAAAGCCACGGCUAACUACGUG
Molecule: ribosomal RNA, 497 nt
Filed under: uncultured bacterium
Lineage: Bacteria
Description: partial 16S ribosomal RNA
Rfam family: Bacterial small subunit ribosomal RNA
Source: RNAcentral